RNAcentral lists this ribosomal RNA (252 nucleotides) under uncultured bacterium. Its description in RNAcentral is "partial 16S ribosomal RNA". It matches the Rfam family "Bacterial small subunit ribosomal RNA", at positions 524 to 776 of the family's 1533-position model. The record is from RNAcentral.
UACGUAGGUGGCAAGCGUUGUCCGGAAUUACUGGGCGUAAAGGGCGCGUAGGCGGUUAUUUAAGUCUGAUGUGAAAGUGCGGGGCUUAACCCCGUAAAGCAUUGGAAACUGGGUAACUUGAGGACAGGAGAGGAAAGUGGAAUUCCUAGUGUAGCGGUGAAAUGCGUAGAUAUUAGGAGGAACACCAGUGGCGAAGGCGACUUUCUGGAUUGACCCUGACACUGAGGCGCGAAAGCGUGGGGAGCAAACAGG